Molecule: ribosomal RNA, 1528 nt
Filed under: Escherichia coli
Lineage: Bacteria; Pseudomonadati; Pseudomonadota; Gammaproteobacteria; Enterobacterales; Enterobacteriaceae
Also listed under: 2 other names
Description: bacterial LSU rRNA
Rfam family: Bacterial large subunit ribosomal RNA
Source: RNAcentral
CGAAUGCUGACAUAAGUAACGAUAAAGCGGGUGAAAAGCCCGCUCGCCGGAAGACCAAGGGUUCCUGUCCAACGUUAAUCGGGGCAGGGUGAGUCGACCCCUAAGGCGAGGCCGAAAGGCGUAGUCGAUGGGAAACAGGUUAAUAUUCCUGUACUUGGUGUUACUGCGAAGGGGGGACGGAGAAGGCUAUGUUGGCCGGGCGACGGUUGUCCCGGUUUAAGCGUGUAGGCUGGUUUUCCAGGCAAAUCCGGAAAAUCAAGGCUGAGGCGUGAUGACGAGGCACUACGGUGCUGAAGCAACAAAUGCCCUGCUUCCAGGAAAAGCCUCUAAGCAUCAGGUAACAUCAAAUCGUACCCCAAACCGACACAGGUGGUCAGGUAGAGAAUACCAAGGCGCUUGAGAGAACUCGGGUGAAGGAACUAGGCAAAAUGGUGCCGUAACUUCGGGAGAAGGCACGCUGAUAUGUAGGUGAAGCGACUUGCUCGUGGAGCUGAAAUCAGUCGAAGAUACCAGCUGGCUGCAACUGUUUAUUAAAAACACAGCACUGUGCAAACACGAAAGUGGACGUAUACGGUGUGACGCCUGCCCGGUGCCGGAAGGUUAAUUGAUGGGGUUAGCGGUAACGCGAAGCUCUUGAUCGAAGCCCCGGUAAACGGCGGCCGUAACUAUAACGGUCCUAAGGUAGCGAAAUUCCUUGUCGGGUAAGUUCCGACCUGCACGAAUGGCGUAAUGAUGGCCAGGCUGUCUCCACCCGAGACUCAGUGAAAUUGAACUCGCUGUGAAGAUGCAGUGUACCCGCGGCAAGACGGAAAGACCCCGUGAACCUUUACUAUAGCUUGACACUGAACAUUGAGCCUUGAUGUGUAGGAUAGGUGGGAGGCUUUGAAGUGUGGACGCCAGUCUGCAUGGAGCCGACCUUGAAAUACCACCCUUUAAUGUUUGAUGUUCUAACGUUGGCCCCUGAUCGGGGUUGCGGACAGUGUCUGGUGGGUAGUUUGACUGGGGCGGUCUCCUCCUAAAGAGUAACGGAGGAGCACGAAGGUUGGCUAAUCCUGGUCGGACAUCAGGAGGUUAGUGCAAUGGCAUAAGCCAGCUUGACUGCGAGCGUGACGGCGCGAGCAGGUGCGAAAGCAGGUCAUAGUGAUCCGGUGGUUCUGAAUGGAAGGGCCAUCGCUCAACGGAUAAAAGGUACUCCGGGGAUAACAGGCUGAUACCGCCCAAGAGUUCAUAUCGACGGCGGUGUUUGGCACCUCGAUGUCGGCUCAUCACAUCCUGGGGCUGAAGUAGGUCCCAAGGGUAUGGCUGUUCGCCAUUUAAAGUGGUACGCGAGCUGGGUUUAGAACGUCGUGAGACAGUUCGGUCCCUAUCUGCCGUGGGCGCUGGAGAACUGAGGGGGGCUGCUCCUAGUACGAGAGGACCGGAGUGGACGCAUCACUGGUGUUCGGGUUGUCAUGCCAAUGGCACUGCCCGGUAGCUAAAUGCGGAAGAGAUAAGUGCUGAAAGCAUCUAAGCACGAAACUUGCCCCGA